RNAcentral lists this ribosomal RNA (433 nucleotides) under uncultured bacterium. Its description in RNAcentral is "partial 16S ribosomal RNA". It matches the Rfam family "Bacterial small subunit ribosomal RNA", at positions 29 to 507 of the family's 1533-position model. The record is from RNAcentral.
AACGAACGCUGGCGGCAUGCCUAACACAUGCAAGUCGAACGAGACCUUCGGGUCUAGUGGCGCACGGGUGCGUAACGUGUGGGAACCUGCCCUUAGGUUCGGAAUAACUCCCCGAAAUGGGUGCUAAUACAGGAUAAUGUCCUCGGACCAAAGAUUUGUCGCCUUUGGAUGGGCCGGCGUUGGAUUAGCUAGUUGGUAGGGUAAAAGCCUACGAAGGCGACGUUCGAUAGCUGGUCUGAGAGGAUGAUCAGCCACACUGGGACUGAGACACGGCCCAGACUACUACGGGAGGCAGCAGAGGGGAAUAUUGGACAAUGGGCGAAAGCCUGAACCAGCAAUGCCGGGUGAGUGAUGAAGGCCUGAGGGUUGUAAAGCUCUUUUACCCGGGAUGAUAAUGACAGUACCGAGAGAAUAAGCUCCGGCUAACUCCGUG